Long non-coding RNA from Passer domesticus (house sparrow), 1204 nucleotides. RefSeq lists it as uncharacterized. Lineage: Eukaryota; Metazoa; Chordata; Aves; Passeriformes; Passeridae. The record is from RefSeq and is a predicted model, not a curated record. The transcript is spliced from 3 exons.
UGGAGCCCUGAGCGGGGCAGCGGCCCGUAGCACCCACGGAGGGGUGAUUCAAGGCGCGGCUCUGAGCGGCCUGGUCUGGUGGAAAGUGCCCCUGCCCAGAGCAGUGGGGUUGGAACUGGAUGGUCUUUAAGGGACUGAGAUGAAGCUCACUGGCCUGUCACUCUCCAGACCUUCCUUUGUGGUCCCCUUGAAGAUAGAAGAGAUGCUUGGUCUCAACCAGUCUCCAGGAACAUCUCCCAGUCAGCUUCCUAUUUCAAAGCUAAUUGAGACCAGGCUCAGAGUGACAUCAGCCAGCUCUCUCAGCAGUCAGGGACACAGCCUCUCAGGCCCUGGGAACUUAAGGUUGGCUCGUCGAGAGGUGAGAUGGAGUUUGUUGGCUGUGCUGAGAAGAAGGAGUUAGUGCUGUGAGGAGCUGCUCAUGAAAAUCACCAAGAAGGUAUGAAACCUUUGCAGCAAGAUGGCAACAAUUGGUGACCCCGACGUGAUCAAGGACCCAGGAUGGUGCGGGGUUCCCCCCGAAUGGCUGUGUGUGCGGCAGGACACAAGCUGUGUGACAGAAGUUGCAAAUGGUAUGGCCACAGCAGCAGGGGGUGCCUCAGCAAUAGCAUGGCCCCUGAGGAGUACGGGGGAAGGUUUGCUAAGUCAUUGCAACAUGAGCACUGGAACAACAGCAACAUGGAGCUCUGAGAGGCAGAGUCAGGGCUGCACGGACAACAUGUAAGAAAAGCCUUCUAAAACUGUAUAGUGGCCAUCUCCGCAGUAACCCGACGUGAUUGGGAGUAGGCUGCAGGGCGAGGUGCAGCCGGAGAUGGAGCCCAGCGUAGCAUUGAGAGCAGCAGGAGAAGCUGCCUGGUCCGGACCUGACAGAUUUUGACACCUGAGGUACAGGUGAGCCGCUGGGGACACAAUGAGAAAUAACAUAUAUUGCUUGAUAUACAUGGAAAGAAGUUAAGGAAAAACUGUGAGAUAUAAGAAGCCUUCUAAAAUUGUAUAGAGGCCAUCUCCACAGUAACCCAACGUGAUUGGGAGUGGGCUGCAGGGCAAGGUGCAGCUGGAGAUGGAGCCCAGUGUAGCAUUGAGAGCAGCAGGGGAAGCUGCCUGAUCUGGACCUGACAGAUUUUGACACCUGAGGUACAGGUGAGCCACUGGGGACACAAUGAGAAAUAACAUAUGGAGUGCUGAACAGAUUGUUUGUUUGAUAUAC